This 1038-nucleotide long non-coding RNA is filed under the name Anser cygnoides (Swan goose). RNAcentral's name for it is "lncRNA (ENSACDG00005004840.1)". The record is from RNAcentral. Lineage: Eukaryota; Metazoa; Chordata; Aves; Anseriformes; Anatidae.
AUGCAGCACCUGGAUCUGCUUUUCCCACAACAAGCUGCCGCAAGCAGCUGCCCUGUAAAAAACCAUUUGAUUAUUAUUUUUUCCCCCAGCUCCAGGCGGUGCUGCUGGUCCCGUGGCUGCCUGCAGCCCCAAAAAGCAAGCAGGGACCUCAAGCUGCACGAACGUGGCACCGAGCCACAGCACCAAGCAGGCUGCAAACACCCUUCACCCUCUUUGUGCCCCCAAAUCCGGGUCCUGCAAGCAUCGGCAGCAUCUCUGCUCUUCUGCGUGAAACCUGGUGAGCCCCCAGCAUGGACAGACGGACGGAUCCUCCUCUUUGGCAUCCCGCUUCCAGCCGUGCUGCUGUCACAGCUCCUCCGCCCCGCUCUGGGUGCUCGUGCAGCCACUCGGAGCCACGGGGCUGCAGGGAGGUGCCGCGGCCCCGGCACCAAAGGGAAACGCUGCAGGCGGCGGGGCUGGCGCUUGACGGAAAGCAGAGCAAGCUUGCUCUUGUCAAGAGCUUUUCUCACCCCGGUUCCAGUGCCCUGCACCCUAGCUGACCUCGAUGUAUAUGAGAGUAAAUUAGUUAAGAUAGAAGAAACACCCUCGUUAAGCUCUUCAGCGCGCAAGCAAAGCGCGCCGGUUGUGCCGGGAGCAGUGGAAGGCACUGGGGGCUGGGCUGGCCCCCAGCUGGGAGGAUGGAGAAGAUUUCCACCAAAAGUUUGUGCAUCAGUGGUGAAACCCUUGGUGCUGCAGUUAGGGCAACUUCCAGAGAAAGAGAGGCUUUUGCCCUGGGAAUUGUUAAUCCAGUGCAUCCCCUCUGCACGGAAAGCUUCCCGUGCUCCCCGCAGGAUCCGUCGGGCCGCCGCGUGCACGCAGCAUCCUCGCUGGCCCGGCCACCCCCGUGCAGCAUCCCCGGGGAGCGCAGGGACGGGGCAGCGAUCUGGCAGUAAUUACGCGGGGAAAGGCAAAACCCUGCUGGGUUGCUUCAAGCAUCAACGUGUCACAGCUUGGAGCGGAGGCAUUUCACAUACCAAAUUCAGAUGUCAUCAGCAAUAA